This 294-nucleotide ribosomal RNA is filed under the name Triticum aestivum (bread wheat). Its description in RNAcentral is "partial small subunit ribosomal RNA". The record is from RNAcentral. Lineage: Eukaryota; Viridiplantae; Streptophyta; Magnoliopsida; Poales; Poaceae.
AUGGCCAUGGCGAACAACCCCACGAACAAGGGCCGGUCGCUGCCCAAGUUCGGGGAGUGGGACGUGAAGAACCCGGCCACGGCCGACGGCUUCACCGUCAUAUUCCAGAGAGCCCGCGACGACAAGAAGACGACCACUGGCCCCGGGAGGCCGGGCAUCCCGCCGGCCUUGAGGAACGCCGACGGCCGCUACGGCACCAUCAAAACCGGCAACGGCUACCAGUACGCCAGGGUGGCGACACCCAAACGGUCCAAGAAGAAGAGCUGGUUCUCCUGCACCAGCUGCCGAUUCUGA